UUAAGAUCUCUUACUAUUGUGCUUUG
RNAcentral lists this non-coding RNA (26 nucleotides) under Mus musculus (house mouse). The record is from RNAcentral. Lineage: Eukaryota; Metazoa; Chordata; Mammalia; Rodentia; Muridae.